AUUAUUCGACAAUGGGCGAAAGCCUGAUCCAGCCAUGCCGCGUGUGUGAAGCAGGUAGUCGGAUUUUAAUGUUCUGUAAGUUGUGAGUAAGGGCGGUAAGAUAUUACAUUGCUGUUUUGACGGUACCGACAGAGUAAGUACCGGCUAAUUUCGUGCCAGCAGCCGCGGUAAUACGCAGGGUGCAAGCGUUAAUCGGAAUUACUGGGCGUAAGGCGCGCGUAGGUGGUUUGUUAAGUUGGAAGUGAAAGCCCCGGGCUCAACCUGGGAACUGCUUUCAAAACUGGUAAGCUAGAGUAUGGCAGAGGGUGGUGGAACUUCCUGGGUAGCGGUGAAAUGCGUAGAUAUAGGAAGGAACACCAGUGGCGAAGGCGACCACCUGGGCUAAUACUGACACUGAGGUGCGAAAGCGUGAGGAGCAAACA
RNAcentral lists this ribosomal RNA (422 nucleotides) under uncultured bacterium. Its description in RNAcentral is "partial 16S ribosomal RNA". It matches the Rfam family "Bacterial small subunit ribosomal RNA", at positions 360 to 774 of the family's 1533-position model. The record is from RNAcentral.